Molecule: ribosomal RNA, 353 nt
Filed under: uncultured bacterium
Lineage: Bacteria
Description: bacterial SSU rRNA
Rfam family: Bacterial small subunit ribosomal RNA
Source: RNAcentral
AGAGUUUGAUCAUGGCUCAGGAUGAACGCUAGCUACAGGCUUAACACAUGCAAGUCGAGGGGAAACGACAUCGAAAGCUUGCUUUUGAUGGGCGUCGACCGGCGCACGGGUGAGUAACGCGUAUCCAACCUGCCCACCACUUGGGGAUAACCUUGCGAAAGUAAGACUAAUACCCAAUGACGUCUCUAGAAGACAUCUGAAAGAGAUUAAAAGAUUUAUCGGUGAUGGAUGGGGGUGCGUCUGAUUAGCUUGUUGGCGGGGUAACGGCCACAAGGCGACGAUCAGUAGGGGUUCUGAGAGGAAGGUCCCCCCANAUUGGAACUGAGACACGGUCCAAACUCCUACGGGAGGCA